GUGAACAUAUCACUGGGAGGGUGACACACCCCAACUCCAUGGGGACAGAAGCUCCUACGCUCGGGACCCUCCCAGACCUCAUCCUGUGUAUCUCUUCACCUGGCUGUUCAUCUGUAUCGUAUCCUUUAAUAAACUGGUGAACGUCCUGGAAAACCGACAUCUCUGGCUGUGGAUGCAGGUGGGAAGGAGACAGCCCUUCACUGAUGUGGAAACUGAAGCUGAGAAAGGCAAAGCAUCUUUCCCGGGACCACAGAGCUAGCAAUGAUGAAGCUCAGGUUUGAGCAU
Eubalaena glacialis (North Atlantic right whale) is the source of this 285-nucleotide long non-coding RNA. RefSeq lists it as uncharacterized. NCBI's taxonomy places the organism in Eukaryota, Metazoa, Chordata, Mammalia, Artiodactyla, Balaenidae. The record is from RefSeq and is a predicted model, not a curated record. The transcript has 3 exons.